AUGGGUGACAAAAAUUCAGUUCCAAAGAGGGAGACUCACGAGAGAAUAGAUGCAUCAUCCACCAUUCCACCAGAUAGUCCUAAGCCAUACGGCUAUCAAGGGAACGCUAUUCUGGGCAUCUCCUUGCUACGAAAUGAGAAGGCAGAGUGCUCAGGUGAAUGCAACUCACAAGUGCCUCAUGAUCUCUUCCUUUGGGCCGCAGGCCUGAGCUCCCAUUUCCUACUAUCUGCAACUCAGCACCUCCAACAACACUCUGCAACUACUUCGUUGAACUCAAAGGCUGUGACUCAGUAUUCAAGUCUGCUUUCUCCAAUGAGUGUAAAUGCAGUGAUGAAAGUGCUUGACUCAGCCACAGCUACUAGUAUAGAUCUCAGAGAUAUUAAAAUAGUUAAGGAACUCAGUGGGACAAUUGAUGACUGUGAGUUGGUGAAGAGGCUCAUUCUCAUCCAAAGAGUGGUGAUUCUGGCAUAUCCAGAGUUGAAAGGCUAAGACUGGGCUUAUUCAGUUUUGCUUAUUUGCUUUCAAAGCAGAUAUGGAUAAUCAAAUCAUUUCUGACAAUGCCCAGAUGGACAGAGCUCUGCAAUAAGAGAAGGCUUAUAUUUUAAAUUUAGUGAAGCAGAUUUGAAAGACAGAAUGUAAUGUCCUUCUUAUACAGAAGUCUAUCCUAAGAAAUGCCCUUUGUGAUCUUGCAUUACAUUUUCUGAACAAGAUGAAAAUUAUGGUGGUUAAGGAUAUUGAAAGAGAAGACAUCAAGUUCAUUUGUAAGACAACUGGAACUAAACCAGUUUUCCAUAUUAACCAAUGCACUGCUGACAUACUGGGUUCUGCUAAGUUAGCUGAGGAAGUCAAUUUAAAUGGUUCUGGAAAACUACUCAGGAUUACGGACUGUGCAAGCCCUGGAAAAACUGUUACGAUUGUAUGUGGUUCUAACAAGCUAGUGCUGGAAGAAGCUUAGUGCUCCAUUCACUAUGCCCUGUGUGUUAUUUGCUACUUAGUGAAGAAGAGAGGUCUUAUUGCAGGAGGCAGUGCCCCACAAAUAGAGUUGGCCCUAAGAUUGACUGAAUAUUCAUGAACAGUGAGUGGCAUGGAAUCCUAUGGUGUUUGUGCUUUCACAGAUGCAAUGGAGGUCAUUCCAUCUAUACUAGCUGAAAAAGCUGGCCUUAAUCCCAAUUCUACAGUAAGAGAAUAAAGAAACCAGCAUUCCCAUGGAGAAAAAACAUCAGGGAUUAAUGAUCAAAAGGGAGGUAUUUCCAACAUUGUGGAAGAAAUGGUUGUCCAGCCUCUCUUGGUUUCAGUCAGCACUCUGACCCUAGCAACUGAAACUGAAAACGAUGAUGUGGUAGAAACCCAAUUAUCUGGAUUCCACUGGCAGACUGCCAUCAUCACGGCCACCAAUACUGUGGCUAGAGUGGAAGAUGAUCACCUUGAUAUUCCUUGUUGUCUGGAAGAUUGUUUCCUCUGUGAAUUCCUGGACUUGGGCUUCUAG
This is a non-coding RNA of Castor canadensis (American beaver), 1486 nucleotides long. Lineage: Eukaryota; Metazoa; Chordata; Mammalia; Rodentia; Castoridae. The record is from RefSeq and is a predicted model, not a curated record.